UAAGGAUUUAAGUUAAAUAAACUAAUAACCUUCAAAGUUGUAAAUAGAGGUAAAUCUAAGCCUU
Molecule: transfer RNA, 64 nt
Filed under: Amarygmini sp. ACP-2013
Lineage: Eukaryota; Metazoa; Arthropoda; Insecta; Coleoptera; Tenebrionidae
Description: tRNA-Trp
Source: RNAcentral